RNAcentral lists this ribosomal RNA (450 nucleotides) under uncultured bacterium. RNAcentral describes it as "bacterial SSU rRNA". It matches the Rfam family "Bacterial small subunit ribosomal RNA", at positions 354 to 796 of the family's 1533-position model. The record is from RNAcentral.
GUGGGGAAUUUUGGACAAUGGGCGCAAGCCUGAUCCAGCAAUGCCGCGUGCAGGAAGAAGGCCUUCGGGUUGUAAACUGCUUUUGUACGGAACGAAACGGUCCGGGUUAAUACCCUGGGCUAAUGACGGUACCGUAAGAAUAAGCACCGGCUAACUACGUGCCAGCAGCCGCGGUAAUACGUAGGGUGCAAGCGUUAAUCGGAAUUACUGGGCGUAAAGCGUGCGCAGGCGGUUUUGUAAGACAGGCGUGAAAUCCCCGGGCUCAACCUGGGAAUUGCGCUUGUGACUGCAGUGCUGGAGUGCGGCAGAGGGGGAUGGAAUUCCGCGUGUAGCAGUGAAAUGCGUAGAUAUGCGGAGGAACACCGAUGGCGAAGGCAAUCCCCUGGGCCUGCACUGACGCUCAUGCACGAAAGCGUGGGGAGCAAACAGGAUUAGAAACCCGGGUAGUCC